UAUAUCGAAUUUACGUAUAUAAAUACAUUUAUGGGAUUUACAAAAAUUCUUAAUUCUUAUUUAUUAUUCCUGUAUCAUGUACAAUAAUGACUUUCGUAAUCAAACAGUAGUAAUUAUCGACUGUUUCUCCUACGUUUACGUUUCAAUACAUCCGAUAAGUCCGAUUCUGGAUCAUUAUCGGUUUAAGAAUAAUUUACCUUAGGUACAUUUCUUUUCGAACUUCUUGUUUUUUUAGUUGGUGAUUGCAUUUUUUUCACUUUUUUAUAAGGUGCAUUUGUCGCCAUAGUUUCUGAUGUAAAUUGUUUGAUCGCUGUUAUCUCGGAUGCAGCGAUUUCUUUACGCUGAGCAGGUGUUUUAAAUGUUCUUUGAUGGCAAGACUCUUGACAUGCUCUGUUGUGUUAGAUUCGUGUGUUGUGAUAUCAUGAAUAUCCUUACAGUAAUCUUGUUUUACUGAAAAUUUAAUAUCGGUCAGUGCUAACUGACAGUUUUUUGGUUAGUUUAGGCCGCGUCAGUCACCGGUGACUGACAUUCAACUGUUUUUUCAAUAGUAAGUAACGCGCGUGGUCUGAUUGGGAUUUCCUGUAAAAUUUGCGUGGCGCUCAACGUGUUAAUCCAAUUAAUCGAUUAUGAUACAGAAAAGUGUAUAAAAUAAAUUGUUGAAAAAACAAGCGUAAGAGAAAAGAAUUUUAAUCGUAUUUAUAAAUCAUCAUUGAUAAAUUAAUUCAUUAAAUAUGCGAAUAAUUACUGUCGUUUCUACCAUCACACAAAAAAACUUUUAACGCAUUAAAGAUUUCCUAUCUUAAUGUGUGGUUAUUCGGAUACUACAGCAUGAAGGUUUUGCAAUCGCUGAAAGAAAAAUUGUUGAUUGUAAUUUAAAAAAAACUAAACACAAUUUGAAUGCAUAAUGCAUCACGUAUUAUUUACGUGAAAUAAAAUUUCAAAUUUUUAUUAUAAUUUUUAUAAAAUGGCGCAGCUUAUCCAAGACACGAAUAUUACCAGCUCUGUAGCAUUUUCUAAAUCUUUACAAAAUGAUGAUAACGCAUUGGAUGAUAAAGGGCAACUACACGAGAAGGAAGAGAACGAUGUUAUUUUAAUAUACGAAAGCUGCGAUAGAAAAUUGGGAAUUAGCAAGAAUAGCGAAGUACAGAAUAAUAAAUUGCAUAGCACUAAAUCGUUCCAAAAAACAUUCUCACGACUUGUUACAUUUAAUAAAAUAAUGCAUUCAUCUAUCGGAAAAAGAAAUUUUCAUCUUCUAGAAAAAUUGAUUUCCAUCUAUAUCAACAAUAUUUUAAAUUUCAUGGAAACGAAUUACAUUAUGACAUACGAAGUUAUUAAAUUGAAAAAGCAUAUGAGUAAUACGUUAACAUUUUUUCAUUUUUAUUGGCACGAAAUUAACGAGCACAUAGAAAAUCACAACUGUUAUUUAAAUAAAUUAUCAGUAUUAUUGGCCAUAUAUGUUGAUACAGAACUGAAAACUUCUAAAUGCAGUAAGGAUCCUUCUAAGAUUGCUGAUAAACUUUUCAAUGCGUUAUGUAUAUACUUAAAUAAAUCAAGAGAGCAUAUAUUUAAGGUAUUACUCAGGAUUAAAUUAAUUACCAAAAGAUAUGCACAGAUUUGUGAUUAUAUAUUCUCUAAAAGUUUUAACAAUUUAAAAACAAAUGAAGAAUCUAUGACAGGGGUAAAAUAUGUCAGAUAUUUAUUUACUUUAAAGCUUUGGAGACAAAUAAAAAAAGAUUCGGAGGAAGCGAAAAAAAUUGAUGAACUAGCCGUAGCUUUAUUAGGAUCACAUAUGCCAAAGAUGCAUGUAGAUUUAUUGAAACUUGUACCUAAGCUCCCUUCUAAUUGUAAAAAUGAAACCUUAUGGUUAAUGCAACCGAACUUAUUCGAUUUAAAACAAGCAUGUAAUGAUUUCCUGGUAUUCACGGAAAAUAUGGAAACGACUGAAUGUGUUCUAUUGCCUUCCACAAUAAAAUCUACAAAAGUACACAAUUAUACAAAUUCAGAGAUAAAUAUGAAUACUAACAAGGAUGAAGAAAUGCAUUCCUUGAGUUGUAAUAAAUCUGAUAUAAAUCCGAAAACAGGUUUAAAUAACAAUAAAUUGAAAGAUAAUUCAAAAAAAAAUAAUAACUCCAUAAAAAAGAAAAAACUCCAUGCUAAAGAAAAGACGGGAAAAAAUAAGAAAUACAAAUUAGUACCAAAUGUAAAGUCAGGAGAAAUGAUAGUUAUUAAUUUUUUAAAAGACAACGAACAAUCGCAAAAUUCUCGUAUAUCAUUGAUCAAUCACGAUAGUUUUCGUAAUGCGUUAAAUUUAAACGAACGGAUAAUAAAUCCUUGCCUGAUUAAAAAAUGUGUAGAGGAAAACAGUUUAAACGCCGAAUUGUGUAGUCAAAAACAAUCUGUGGAUAUUUUAGAUUCGUCUGUACAAAGAAACAAAAAUGAACAGUGCGUUAAUCAAAAUAAUUCAAUCGAUAGAUGUGUAGAUAUAGUUUCAUUUGGUUUAAAUGCAAACGCGAAAGAAGAUUUUGAUUUGUUUUCAUGGGAUGAUAACGGUUCUAUAUCAAUGUUUAAAAAUAUUUCAUCUUUGUAUUCGUCACCAUUACUUAUUCAAUCGGAUGUAAAACUUUCCGAAUCAAAAGAAUCCUUAACAAAUCUUACUUUCACAAACUCUGAUUACGAAUUCAAUGAUAUGAAAAUGGAACAAGGUUAUGAUUUCCAAGAAGCAAAUAUAUUAAAAGAAAGUAAUUUAAAAACGUAUACAGCACAUCAUACUUCAUUAGACGAAGUUUGUAUUUCUAAAGAUGUACCUUCGAGUGAUUUGCCAGUCCAAAUGGAAGACCUUCUAGUGCCAUCAUAUAAUUGCAUGUCAACGUCUGCAUUGCAAUUAGAUUUGGAAUUACUACCAACAGGAAAGUUGAUAGAAACACCUAAUUUACCAUUAUCUUUCAGUCAAUAUGAUUUAGUAUCAAAUAAACCGAUUACUUCGGAUUCACAAUUUAUAUUUACCAAGAAUGAUAAUUUGAAUAUACAACAAUUUUUAAAUGGACUACAAUCGGUUGAAACUCUUGAAAGAAUACAACAAAAUGUAAAAAUAUCUUCCGAUUACGAUCAAUUAUAUGCAGAUCAGGAUAUAAUGGAAGAUAUUAAUAAUUUUUCGAAACCAGAAUCAAUGGAUUUAGAUAAAAUUUUACCACAAAAAAAACGUAUAUCAAUGAAUCUCCGAAAUUCUGUAAUUAUAAGAGAAGAUAUAUCAAGUGAUUCCAAUCUCUUAUAUAAAGUAGAAUCGGAAGAUAAUAUUUUAAUAUCAACAGACAAUUCUUGCUUUAAACCUUCGGAAGGAAAUAUUACAAAGUCUGAUCCUCAAGUUGCUAAAGUACUUCUUGUCCAAGAUGAAUCCUCGAAAGAAACUUCAACGAAGAUCUCUAUAAAACCAAAUAUCAGAAAACUUGAUACAACGUCGUAUAACGAAGAAACAUCAUCAGUUAAGAGAAGAAAAGUUACGUCUGAACUUCUACCUCUUUUAGAUGCAAGUAAAGUUUCAUAUUCAACAAAUACACAGACUAAAACUAAAGAUUUACUUUCUGAAAUGAAAGGUAAUUUGAUAUUACAAUUAGUUACAAUUUUGAAACUAAUAUUAUUUUUAUAUUGUGAUAAAUACUCUAGAAUAAUUUAUAUAUACAUUUUGUUAUUUAUGUUUUUACUAGUUCAAAUUAAUAUGCUUGGUUAUAAAUCUUUUUAUUGGAAAAUGAUACAAUUAAUUUUAUAAAUAUAGUUUUAUGUAAAUUAAUAUCAAUCGCGUUAAAAAAAAAGAGAGAAUAAUAUUUACUAUGAUAUAGUAAUGUAAUAAUACGUACAUGAAUAUGUAUAUAUAAAGUAUAAUUAUGUGAUAUCAACACCUGAAGAUGUCUACAGUGAAGAUCUAUUAUUACAAAUUACCAAUUAAAGUAAAACAAGGAAUUUAUGUGUGAAAAAAUAUAAUGGAAUCAGUAGUCAAAGUACCGUACCAUCGAAGUACAGUUAAAGUAUAUCAUGCAACGUAUCAUGUAAAAGCUUUUACUAUCACCAAAGAAGCAAGAAAUUUGCAUUGAAAAUCUGACAGAUGGAUGAAGUCUACAAAUCCUGUUAAUAAGGUAUAUAUAAAAAAAUUUAACAAAUUAAUAAAUAAUUUUGUGGAUAUGCCAACAUUAUUUUAAUCAUUUGAAUGAAUGUUAAACUGAAAAUUAGUAAUUAAGUUUGUAAGUAAACCAUCUAUAGCUAGGUAUAGUAACAAUAGUUAUUCUCUUCCAAUUUUUUGACUAUUUGAUUAUUUGAUCGAGAAAUUAUUGAAUCCAGAUAUGUACAUAAAAAAUAUUUUGUAUGUUAUCUUAAUGUUAAAAGGAAACAGUAUUGUAUAAAUAGUUCAUAUGAUUGUAUAAUGAAGAAUAUUUAACAAAUACUUGUUCUUUCAAUUGUUUUACUUUUAGUUACAAACGUAUAAUCAAAUAUUUACAAAAAAAAUCAAUUUUUUAUUGCCUCACUAUGAGUUAAUUUUUAGAUAACUGGUUCUAAAAUGAUAUUACUGAGAAGCAUGCAAAUAUUUUAAUAAUAUAACAAAAACUUGCAUUAAAUUUUAAUUAAAUAAUAAUGAGCAAACGUACAUUGAUUUUAUUUUUAAAUCUACAGCAUAUUAGUAUUAUUAUCAGCAUAUAUUUGCUUAGAAUAUUUAAUGAAGUAUAAUAAUGCAAGUAAAAGUAUAUGAGAGUAAGGGCACGAUGAUCUCUUUAGCACUAGUCAAAAAUGCUAUCUCAUUCGAAAAACAGUUGGAAUUAUUAUUCCUUAAAUAUUCAUACGUAGAUGAUAGUAUACAGUGAGUGAUCAGUUAAUAGAGAUAGUUUUGACUGUGAACAAGUCGGACAAUAAAUGUUUUUGCAAAAGAUUUUUAUAUUCGGAUAAUAAUCACUUUACAGAACCAACAUAAGAAGAGCCGACAUUGUGUAUAAGAUUUAUAGAAUCGUAUUUUAUUGUUAAAAAAAUCGAUGAUUAGUUAAUACGAACAAUUUGGAUUGUGAACAUCAUUUUUAAAUACUUUAUGUUCAUUAACCGAUCAUCCAUUGUAAUAUUGUAUAAGAAAUAAAAUUUCAAAUUAUAAUUAGAUUUUUUAUAGGAAGAAAUGAAUUAUAAUAAUACUUUAUCUUACAAUUAUAGUCAAGCUAGAAACUGUAACCAAUCUCUUUGCUCUAAUUAUUCUUAUUAUAUAGUAAUGUUAAAUCUUAGCAGAUUGCAAUACGAGAAACAGGGUAUAUUUUUAUUUAAAUUCACUCAGUAUUAUUUAUAAUAUAUUCCAAGUACCUUAACAUUUUUUAGAAAUAUUAGGAUGAGGAUAGAAAAGAUAUUGUAAGUUUUAGUAUCGAAAUACUCUGUAAUUUAUUAUUGAAACAAUGCGAUUUUUUUCUAUUAUUUAAAUAUAUUUUACAAAUCAUUGACAGUUAAUUGCAAACAAGUGUUACGUUUACUUUGCCAAGUAUAAAAUUUGUAGUUUAAUUUACAGUUAAACUAGUAAAAGACUUAUUUUUAAAAAGUGUCAUAUUUAAGUAGAUAUACUUAAGAUCUAAUUUCUUCAUUUUGUUGUGUGUGUGUCUUUAUUUUCAAUUAUGAUAAAAUAUACAUUAAUCUUUUUAAUUUUAUAAUAAUAAAUUCCUUAUUUUUUUAGAUUUCAAAUAUAACAGACUGAUUUAUACUUCAUAUUUAUUUUUUUAUUACUUAUAAUCGUGUGUCAAAAGAUCUACAUUGAUCUUCGAAGAAUGUCCGACUUUGAUAUUUUUUAUAUAAUCUCAUUUAUAUUUUAAUAAUAUUUUUUUUAUUUUGUUUGUUAAAUAAUGUUUUUACAUCUGUGUAUAUAACCAAUUGAGAUGCAUUAAUAAAGUAUUUUUUAAAAAAGAUAUCUUUUUUAUUAAAUACAAUUUAAUAAUUAAGAAUUAUAUAUCCAAUCACACACAAAGUUUAAAAAAAGAAGCAAAGUUACAUUUAAAUAAAAAUACAUUUUUAAUUAUAUUUAGCCAUUAUAUAAUAAAUAAAACAAAUAGAUAAACGUGUACGUAUAUUCGUAGAUAAAAAUAAUGCGAGUUAAUUCAUUUAAAAUAAUUUAUAUAAUUAUGUCAAAUAAUAUUAGAGUUAUUUAAAAAGAAAAAACUUACGAAAGAAACGUAUUUAGUUACUUGCAAUCUUAUUUUUCAAUUAUUAUAAAUUUCUAAUACAUAUGUGUGUGUGUGUGUGUUACGUAUUGAUUGUAAAACGGGUUAUUAUUAACAUGUUUCGUUUUUUUGCGCAACAAAUGUUACAAUAUAUGCGUUUUUUUUCACAAUAUAAGACAGAGAUUAAGUCGAAAGAAAAUGAAGGAAAAAUUGUAUGAAAUGA
This is an RNA transcript of Polistes canadensis, 6390 nucleotides long. RefSeq lists it as uncharacterized. The transcript is spliced from 10 exons. NCBI's taxonomy places the organism in Eukaryota, Metazoa, Arthropoda, Insecta, Hymenoptera, Vespidae. The record is from RefSeq and is a predicted model, not a curated record.